This 476-nucleotide ribosomal RNA is filed under the name uncultured bacterium. RNAcentral's name for it is "bacterial SSU rRNA". It matches the Rfam family "Bacterial small subunit ribosomal RNA", at positions 9 to 474 of the family's 1533-position model. The record is from RNAcentral.
GAGUUUGAUCCUGGCUCAGAUUGAACGCUGGCGGCAGGCCUAACACAUGCAAGUCGAACGGUAACAGAAAGCAGCUUGCUGCUUUGCUGACGAGUGGCGGACGGGUGAGUAAUGUCUGGGAAACUGCCUGAUGGAGGGGGAUAACUACUGGAAACGGUAGCUAAUACCGCAUAACGUCGCAAGACCAAAGAGGGGGACCUUCGGGCCUCUUGCCAUCGGAUGUGCCCAGAUGGGAUUAGCUUGUUGGUGAGGUAACGGCUCACCAAGGCGACGAUCUCUAGCUGGUCUGAGAGGAUGACCAGCCACACUGGAACUGAGACACGGUCCAGACUCCUACGGGAGGCAGCAGUGGGGAAUAUUGCACAAUGGGCGCAAGCCUGAUGCAGCCAUGCCGCGUGUAUGAAGAAGGCCUUCGGGUUGUAAAGUACUUUCAGCGGGGAGGAAGGGAGUAAAGUUAAUACCUUUGCUCAUUGACG